RNAcentral lists this transfer RNA (70 nucleotides) under Clerus dealbatus. RNAcentral describes it as "tRNA-Ser". The record is from RNAcentral. Lineage: Eukaryota; Metazoa; Arthropoda; Insecta; Coleoptera; Cleridae.
AGAAAUAUGAGAUUCAAGAAUAAGCUUCUAACUUAAUUCUUAAGCAGUGUAAUUCUGUUUAUAUUUCUUA